GGAUUGAACGCUGGCGGCGGUGCCUAAUACAUGCAGUCGAGCGCGUGGAAUGAAGCUUAGCCUCCUUCUGGAGUGACGCUUGUGUGACUAGCGGCGGACGGGUGGCUUGCACGUGGGCGACCUACCUGUAAAACUGGGAUAACUCCGGGAAACCGGGGCUAAUACCGGAUGAUACAUGUCCUCACCUGACGAGAUGUUAAAAACGCGGCAUAUACUGUCACUUACAGAUGGGCCUGCCGCGCAUUAGCUAGUUGGUGAGAUAAAACCUAAACAAUGAUACGAUGCGUAGCCAAUCUGACAGGGUGAUCACUCACACUGGAACUGACACUCGGCCAAAAUUCCUACUGGAGGAAACCCUGAGGAAUCUUCCCCACUGGACUAAAGUCUGACUGAGCAUCGCCGCGUGAGUGAUGAAGGUUUUCGGAUCGUAAAACUCUGUUGUUAGGGAAUAACAAUUGCCAUUCGAAUAGGUUGGCACCUUGACCGUGCCUAACCACACAGUACCGGCUAACUACGUGCCAGCCCGCCGCGGUA
RNAcentral lists this ribosomal RNA (534 nucleotides) under Virgibacillus sp. MBST. RNAcentral describes it as "bacterial SSU rRNA". It matches the Rfam family "Bacterial small subunit ribosomal RNA", at positions 27 to 522 of the family's 1533-position model. The record is from RNAcentral. Lineage: Bacteria; Bacillati; Bacillota; Bacilli; Caryophanales; Bacillaceae.